UCUGACACAGGUGCUGCAUGGCUGUCGUCAGCUCGUGUCGUGAGAUGUUGGGUUAAGUCCCGUAACGAGCGCAACCCUUGCCUUUAGUUGCCAGCAGUUCGGCUGGGCACUCUAAAGGGACUGCCGGUGUUAAACCGGAGGAAGGUGGGGAUGACGUCAAGUCCUCAUGGCCUUUAUGACCAGGGCUACACACGUACUACAAUGGCCGAUACAAAGGGCAGCGACACUGCGAGGUGAAGCCAAUCCCGUAAAAUCGGUCUCAGUCCGGAUUGGAGUCUGCAACUCGACUCCAUGAAGUUGGAAUCGCUAGUAAUCGUGGAUCAGCAUGCCACGGUGAAUACGUUCCCGGGCCUU
This 354-nucleotide ribosomal RNA is filed under the name uncultured Desulfobulbus sp. Its description in RNAcentral is "bacterial SSU rRNA". It matches the Rfam family "Bacterial small subunit ribosomal RNA", at positions 1028 to 1382 of the family's 1533-position model. Lineage: Bacteria; Pseudomonadati; Thermodesulfobacteriota; Desulfobulbia; Desulfobulbales; Desulfobulbaceae. The record is from RNAcentral.